RNAcentral lists this long non-coding RNA (1472 nucleotides) under Astyanax mexicanus (Mexican tetra). RNAcentral describes it as "lncRNA (ENSAMXG00005016256.1)". Lineage: Eukaryota; Metazoa; Chordata; Actinopteri; Characiformes; Acestrorhamphidae. The record is from RNAcentral.
CUUUCUUUCAUUACACAUAUUUCUCUCUUUCUCGUUCUCUCUCUCUUUUACUUUCUAUCUUUCUCCCACCCUCUCAUACACUUACUCUUCUCACUCUCUUUAUUACACUCUCACUCUGUAUAUAUCUUUCUCUCUUUCUCUCUCUCUCUGUAUAUAUCUGUUUCUCUCUCUAUCUAUCUCACUCUCUUUAUUACACUCUCACUCUCUCUCUUUAUAAAUCUUUCUCUCUCUCUCUCUCUCUAUCUCACUCUCGUUAUUACACUCUCACUCUCUCCCUCUGUAUAUAUCUGUUUCUCUCUCCCCUCUCUUUCUCUCUUUCUCUCUCUCUCUCUCUCUCGAUGGAGUGAUAAAUCCUGCCCUCACUCUUCAUUCUGCACUGAGCUGCUUUUAUACUCACUUUUGCUGAGUAAAGAUUUCAGUUUUUACUGCAGAGAAUUAAGAGGCUGUUAACAUCCUGACGUUGGAAGAGCCGAACAGUCUCUGGAGAACAGUUCGCUUUGUGCUGAGAUUCUAUUUAUACUGUUGCCUUUUAUGUACGUUUAAAUUCAGCAUUUCUUUAGAUUUUUGUCUCCUGCCUCUGUUUCGUGUAUUGCAAAAAACAGACCAGUCGAAUAGAAAUAAUAUACACAGAUAUACCAGAAGUCAGGAAAUAGGAAUUAUGUAGGCGGGGUCUUCUGCAUUGAAUCCAGGAGGCAGGCUAUGUGGAAUAUAUGUAUAUAUUUAUAUAUCUAUAUAUGUCUGUCUUUAUCAGCAGAUUAUGCCCCGUGUCACUCAGUCUGAAGAGUGUUUGGACAAACUGUUAAAAUUUCUGGAUGUCAGAACGCUGUGCGAGAAUGGAGGUGUGAUAUUCAUUAAAGGUUCUGGCGGCCCACCUCCUUCCCCACCACCUCCGGGUUGGUCCCAUUUGGAUGCCCAGGGGGAUGGCUCCACCCUGUCUUCCAUGUAUGACAAGAUCUGCAGUAUCAAGUCCAGACGUAUCAAGGCUUGGGCUGAUGAGAGGACCUACAUCAAAGACUUUAUCCAAAAACAGUUUUUAAGUAAUUUCUUUUUUAAUAUACUUGUAUAUUUUUCAAUAUUAAAUAUUUAAAUAUUUAAUCACAUUUGCUUCAGGAGUCAUAAUAGUAGAAAGAUGCAAUCAAACGACAGCUAAAUAAUUAACCAAAACACACUGCCAAAACUACAAAGGAGUUCAUCAGAGGUGAGAAGUGGAAAGUUUUAGACUGGCCUAGUCAAUCUCCAGUUUUAUAGACCUUAUAUACUCCCCAUAGAUCAGGGGUCAACAAUUAAGUUUGGCCGUGAGCCAGAUAUUUUCCAAGCCUGUUUUGGAAAAUUAAGUGUAAUGGGUUGAAGUGCUACAGACUAGAAGUUCUCCAGGCCAGAGGGUUGUUGAACCCAAUUGCAGUACAGUUGAUCUCAAGCAGGAAAACCCAAGAAAAAAGGAAAAAAUAAAUACAUAAACACACCGCUCCUCA